This 319-nucleotide long non-coding RNA is filed under the name Chrysolophus pictus (golden pheasant). Its description in RNAcentral is "lncRNA (ENSCPIG00010003327.1)". The record is from RNAcentral. Lineage: Eukaryota; Metazoa; Chordata; Aves; Galliformes; Phasianidae.
GAAGAUUAACUUGCUCGUGGAAGAAUGAGACCUGACACAGGUGAAAACCACAGGUGUGGAUUGCAGAAUUCAUCUGAAAGAGAACACCCACGUGGGAAACUUUGGCUCCUUCAGUUAGCAUUUAACAGAAUCUGCAGCAAAUUGAGAGCAGGGUCAUCCUGCAUGUAGGCAGUGUAAAGAGCUUCAGCAUGAUCACUGUGUAGGAGGCCGGAGUUGGUUUCCUCAGCCCCUUGUCCGGUUCUGUAAUCUACAGACAUCUGCUACAAUACAGCUGCACACCUUAGCCUGGAGUGGAGGUUGUCCUCAGUCAUCCUGGUGA